This 70-nucleotide transfer RNA is filed under the name Rhododendron molle. RNAcentral describes it as "tRNA-Phe". The record is from RNAcentral. Lineage: Eukaryota; Viridiplantae; Streptophyta; Magnoliopsida; Ericales; Ericaceae.
UGUGUGGUGGAGUUGGUUAAAACUUUUAUAUAAAACUCAAAAGACUUGGGUUCAAAACCCAAUAGGAGAA